RNAcentral lists this ribosomal RNA (160 nucleotides) under Lotharella globosa. RNAcentral's name for it is "partial 18S ribosomal RNA". It matches the Rfam family "Eukaryotic small subunit ribosomal RNA", at positions 1655 to 1828 of the family's 1831-position model. The record is from RNAcentral. Lineage: Eukaryota; Cercozoa; Chlorarachniophyceae.
GCCCUUUGUACACACCGCCCGUCGCUCCUGCCAAUGGGUGGGGUGGUAAGAAGGUGGAAUGGACCACGAACGUAGUGUCUCUGAUCUCCUUCGAGCUAUGUCAUCUAGAGGAAGGAGAAGUCGUAACAAGGUUUCCGUAGGUGAACCUGCGGAAGGAUCA